UGUGAUUUAGCUCAGUGGCAUGGCAUCUACCUCCCAAGUACAAGGUCCUGCGUUCGAUCCCCAGUACCACAA
Molecule: transfer RNA, 72 nt
Filed under: Heterocephalus glaber (naked mole-rat)
Lineage: Eukaryota; Metazoa; Chordata; Mammalia; Rodentia; Bathyergidae
Rfam family: tRNA
About the family: Transfer RNA (tRNA) molecules are approximately 80 nucleotides in length. Their secondary structure includes four short double-helical elements and three loops (D, anti-codon, and T loops).
Source: Rfam by way of RNAcentral